Long non-coding RNA from Cornus florida, 1535 nucleotides. RefSeq lists it as uncharacterized. Lineage: Eukaryota; Viridiplantae; Streptophyta; Magnoliopsida; Cornales; Cornaceae. The transcript is spliced from 3 exons. The record is from RefSeq and is a predicted model, not a curated record.
UUGCUUUAAUCUGGCAAAAGCAUUUAACUACAAGCUUUACCUUCGAUAUGAAAUUUUCUAGAGAGAAUCGGUGGGAAACUUAUUUAUAUGACUUAGUUCGAAAUUAAAAGCUUAGAUAGAACUGGGUUCAACUAAUGGAGAUAUGAGUAGGAUACAAGUAUUAACAAGUAUAUGACUACCAAUAAAGAAUACCGAUCAAAAAAAGUACAUAGUUUAUAUUUUGGCAUAUAAAACACUAACUUCUUAUAGGUAAAUAUGGCUGGACCUAGCCGUCGGAGACGAGUCUCUCAGUCAGAUCAUACUCCCAUACCCAAUCUGACAGUCACAUUUGCCAACAUUUUCUCAGUCAGAACCUACCCCCAUGUCCACAUUGUCACCCACAUCCUUGCCUACACAUUCUCAGUUAGUGCUUUUUAUGUAUUUUGGUUUUGGUUAGGCACAGUAAAGUAAUUUGUUAUCAUUAAUCAUUGGAAAUGAUUUUAUUUUUCUUCUGAACAACAAAUUUACUUUUGACUUUUUUAGUAUGCAUGCAUGACAUUGGCCAAUAUAAAAUUGAGUGCUUUUUUUUUCAAUAAAUUUAAUUUGACGGUGCUUAUUUAGCUUGUGUUAGGGAAAUGGAUUUUGAUAGGGGUAGGAUUCAAAAUAAUGAUAGGAAUUCGAUAGAGUACAUGCAAGGAGUAAAAAACUUUAUGGAAGUGGCUAGUAAACAUGUAGAUUCACUCAACCGGACUCGUUGUCCAUGUUACAAUUGUAACAACAUCUUGUUGCAACAAUUAGCAGUUGUUAAAGACCACCUUCCCUGAUGGGUAUGCAUCAAACAUUUCUCGAUGUGUUAAUAUCAAAGAUUGCAAGCUAUCGGGAAUGAAAAGUCAUGAUUGUCAUAUUCUUUUGCAACAUUUACUUCCGAUAGCAAUACAUGGGUACCUUCGCAAGGAUGUAUGUACCGCACUGACUGAACUUAGUUUUUUUUUCAAAAAAUUGUGUUCAAGGACAUUGCAGUUGGAUGAGUUGGAGCAAAUGGAAAAGGACAUUGUCAUUAUAUUAUGUAAACUGGAAUAGAUAUUUCCCCCAGCCUAUUUUUGACGUAACGGUCCACUUAGCAAUUCACCUUCCUCUUGAGGCCAUCCUUGCCGGACCAGUGCAAUAUUGAUGGAUGUAUCCAAUAGAAAGGUUCUUACAUUCUUUAAAGACAACGGUUCGAAAUAAAGCCAAACCAGAGGGAUAAAUUGCUGAGGCAUAUAUUGACAAAGAAUGCCUAACUUUUUGUUCAAUGUAUCUCAAAGGGGUUGAGACAGUGUUUAAUCGAGAUGAACGGAAUUACGAUGGCAAUCGAGGAAAUAAAGGUUUCUCAUUGAUUGCAAUCUAGCUCCCCUUUUGGAUUCAGAUUUCUUUUGAAAUUUUGAUAUGUGUAUGCGAUUAGCAUUGUGUAAUAUUGGAUUUAUAUAUUAGGAUUUUGAUAUGUGUUGGAAUUAUCAUUUUAGAUGAUUUGUAUAUUUUAAUAUCUAAAUUCUUAGUGGAAUAUGUGUUUUAUCUUC